Molecule: RNA transcript, 1785 nt
Organism: Cynara cardunculus var. scolymus (artichoke)
Lineage: Eukaryota; Viridiplantae; Streptophyta; Magnoliopsida; Asterales; Asteraceae
Gene name: cysteine desulfurase, mitochondrial
Exons: 2
Source: RefSeq, a predicted model, not a curated record
GCAGACCUAUUAACCGAAAAAUGGCCUCCAAGGUUCUCGCAGCCGCCGUCCGCCGAUCGUUAUCCCCCAGAAUCCCGACAUCCAUCCGCUCUCUGUCCACCGCCGCUGCGGCCGUGGCUGAACCAUUCGACGAGACAGCCGGAAUCUCAAUGAAAGGGGUAAAGAUCUCAGGAAGACCUCUAUACCUUGAUAUGCAAGCUACCUCCCCUGUCGACCCCAGGGUACUCGACGCUAUGCUUCCUUACUUCGUGUCUCGCUACGGAAACCCUCACUCACGCACUCACCUCUACGGCUGGGAAUCCGACGAGGCAGUUGAAGUUGCAAGAGCUCAAGUCGCCAAUCUUAUUAACGCCUCCCCGAAAGAAAUCGUCUUCACAUCCGGCGCCACCGAGUGCAACAACAUCUCCGUGAAGGGUGUGAUGCACUUCUACAAAGAGAAGAAGAAACACGUAAUUACGACUCAGACGGAGCAUAAGUGCGUACUUGAUUCUUGCCGUCAUUUACAGCAAGAGGGUUUCGAAAUCACUUAUCUCCCGGUCAAAUCUGAUGGUUUGGUAGACCUAAAUCAGCUCCGAUCUUCAAUUCGGAGCGACACAGGGCUUGUGUCGGUGAUGGCAGUGAAUAAUGAGAUUGGGGUUAUUCAACCAAUGGAGGAAAUUGGCCAGAUAUGUAAGGAAUUCAAUAUUCCGUUUCAUACAGAUGCGGCACAGGCGUUGGGGAAGAUUCCUAUUGAUGUGAAUAAGUGGAAUGUGAGCUUAAUGUCGUUGAGUGGGCAUAAAGUUUACGGUCCCAAGGGUGUUGGGGCUUUGUAUAUGAGGCGGAGGCCACGAAUUAGGGUUGAGCCACAGAUGAAUGGCGGUGGGCAGGAGAGGGGCAUUAGGAGUGGGACAGUGCCAACACCAUUGGUUGUUGGAAUGGGUGCUGCUUGCGAGCUUGCAAUGAAGGAGAUGGAAUACGAUGAGAAGAGGGUUACUAAACUGAAAGAUAGGAUGCUCAAUGGCAUCAGGGAUAGACUUGAUGGUGUGGUGGUGAAUGGAAGCACAGAAAGCCGGUAUGCAGGGAAUUUGAACUUGUCUUUUGCAUAUGUUGAAGGAGAGAGCUUGUUGAUGGGCUUGAAGGAAGUGGCUGUAUCAAGUGGGAGUGCAUGUACUAGUGCUAGUUUGGAGCCAUCUUAUGUUUUGAGAGCUUUGGGUGUUGAUGAAGAUAUGGCCCAUACUUCUAUUAGGUUUGGAAUUGGGAGGUUUACCACUGAGGAAGAGAUAGAUAAAGCGAUCGAAUUAACUGUUAACCAGGUUGAGAAGUUGAGAGAAAUGAGCCCACUUUAUGAAAUGGUGAAGGAAGGGAUUGACAUCAAGAGUAUACAAUGGUCCCAACACUAAUCUAAUUGGCACGCUUGGUGGAGUUGCUGUCUUAUACCUGCUGUUGUUACAGGUGGCCCUUUGAAUGGAUGAUUAAACCUGGAACAACAAACACAAAUACAUGUAUGUCUGAUGAAGAUCUGUAAGCCAUACUGGAAUCCCUUUUUCUAAGAGACACAGGAGAGAAAUAAGGCUAUUACACUCCAUUGAUUCAAUCUCAUUUAUAUUUAAACAUUACAAGCAGAGAGAGCUUUUUUAGUUUUGGUGUUGGCUUUAAAGUGUCUAUGAUUGAUGUAGUAGCUGUAUAUAAUGGGUAUGUUCACAUCUGAUCUUAAGGUAUUUUUGUUUUAGCUUCUAGCCCUGGAGCCCAAUAGGGCUGAACUCUGAAGCACAAAUCAAUUAACAAGGAAAAAGAUUCUCAAGUACA